This 253-nucleotide ribosomal RNA is filed under the name uncultured bacterium. RNAcentral describes it as "partial 16S ribosomal RNA". It matches the Rfam family "Bacterial small subunit ribosomal RNA", at positions 524 to 776 of the family's 1533-position model. The record is from RNAcentral.
UACGUGGGGAGCAAGCGUUGUUCGGAUUUACUGGGCGUAAAGGGCGCGUAGGCGGCUUGACAAGUCACUUGUGAAAUCUCCGGGCUUAACCCGGAGCGGCCAAGUGAUACUGUCGUGCUAGAGUGCGGAAGGGGCUACUGGAAUUCUCGGUGUAGCGGUGAAAUGCGUAGAUAUCGAGAGGAACACCUGCGGCGAAGGCGGGUAGCUGGGCCGACACUGACGCUGAGGCGCGAAAGCCAGGGGAGCGAACGGG